UACGUAGGGUGCGAGCGUUAAUCGGAAUUACUGGGCGUAAAGCGUGCGCAGGCGGUUCGUUAAGUUCGUUGUGAAAGCCCCGGGCUCAACCUGGGAACUGCAAUGGAAACUGGCGGGCUUGAGUAUGGCAGAGGGGGGUGGAAUUCCGCGUGUAGCAGUGAAAUGCGUAGAGAUGCGGCGGAACACCGAUGGCGAAGGCAGCCCCCUGGGCUGAGAUUGACGCUCAGGCACGAAAGCGUGGGGAGCAAACAGG
Molecule: ribosomal RNA, 253 nt
Filed under: uncultured bacterium
Lineage: Bacteria
Description: partial 16S ribosomal RNA
Rfam family: Bacterial small subunit ribosomal RNA
Source: RNAcentral